Molecule: ribosomal RNA, 305 nt
Filed under: uncultured bacterium
Lineage: Bacteria
Description: bacterial SSU rRNA
Rfam family: Bacterial small subunit ribosomal RNA
Source: RNAcentral
CGUGCCUACGGGAGGCAGCAGUGAGGAAUAUUGGUCAAUGGUCGGGAGACUGAACCAGCCAAGCCGCGUGAGGGAGGAAGGUACAGAGUAUCGUAAACCUCUUUUGUCAGGGAACAAAGGCGGGGACGUGUCCCCGGAUGAGUGUACCUGAAGAAAAAGCAUCGGCUAACUCCGUGCCAGCAGCCGCGGUAAUACGGAGGAUGCGAGCGUUAUCCGGAUUUAUUGGGUUUAAAGGGUGCGCAGGCGGUCUGUUACGUUAGCGGUCAAAGCCCGGGGCUCAACCCCGGCCCGCCGUUGACACUGGG